This 449-nucleotide ribosomal RNA is filed under the name uncultured bacterium. RNAcentral describes it as "bacterial SSU rRNA". It matches the Rfam family "Bacterial small subunit ribosomal RNA", at positions 330 to 793 of the family's 1533-position model. The record is from RNAcentral.
GCCAGACUCCUACGGGAGGCAGCAGUGGGGGAUAUUGGACAAUGGGGGAAACCCUGAUCCAGCGACGCCGCGUGAGUGAAGAAGUAUUUCGGUAUGUAAAGCUCUGUCAGCAGGGAAGAAAGAAAUGACGGUACCUGACCAAGAAGCCCCGGCUAACUACGUGCCAGCAGCCGCGGUAAUACGUAGGGGGCAAGCGUUAUCCGGAAUUACUGGGUGUAAAGGGAGCGUAGACGGCAGAGCAAGUCUGAAGUGAAAGCCCGCGGCCCAACUGCGGGACUGCUUUGGAAACUGCCCGGCUAGAGUGCUGGAGAGGUAAGCGGAAUUCCUAGUGUAGCGGUGAGAUGCGUAGAUAUUAGGAGGAACACCAGUGGCGAAGGCGGCUUACUGGACUGUAACUGACGUUGAGGCUCGAAAGCGUGGGGAGCAAACAGGAUUAGAUACCCGUGUAU